ACGUGAAACCUUGUCUGAACGUGGGGGGACCACCCUCCAAGCCUAAGUACUCCUCGAUGACCGAUAGUGAACCAGUACCGUGAGGGAAAGGUGAAAAGCACCCCGAUGAGGGGAGUGAAAUAGACCUGAAACCGGAUGCCUACAAGCAGUCGGAGCCUCCUCGUCUUCGGACGUGAGGGGUGACGGCGUACCUUUUGUAUAAUGGGUCAGCGAGUUAGUCUGUCGAGCAAGCUUAAGCCGUUAGGUGUAGGCGCAGCGAAAGCGAG
Molecule: ribosomal RNA, 266 nt
Filed under: Alexandrium margalefii
Lineage: Eukaryota; Dinophyceae; Gonyaulacales; Pyrocystaceae
Description: partial Bacterial large subunit ribosomal RNA
Rfam family: Bacterial large subunit ribosomal RNA
Source: RNAcentral